RNAcentral lists this unclassified non-coding RNA (212 nucleotides) under Hevea brasiliensis (rubber tree). Lineage: Eukaryota; Viridiplantae; Streptophyta; Magnoliopsida; Malpighiales; Euphorbiaceae. The record is from RNAcentral.
UUUUUUUUUUGAUUUAUUUUGUUUUGUAUAAUAGGUUUUAGUUUUAUUUAUUUUAUUAGAAUUGAUUUAAAUGUAUUUUUUUUAAUGGUUGAGUAAUAUUUUAUUGUGUAUAUGUAUUAUAGUUUUUUUAUUUAUUUAUUUGUUGAUGGAUAUUUAGGUUGUUUUUAUGUUUUGGUUAUUAUAAAUAGUGUUGUAAUGAAUAUUGGGGUAUA